AGUACUGAAACUAUUUAGAGUUGCAAAUAAUAUAUAUAAAAUAAAACCGAAACGUGCAUAUAGUGAUAUCUAAACCAUUAAAAAAAAAAUAUGAAGAUAAUAUUGUUAAUGCAAUGGAGGUGGUGUGGGUAGAACUAAUAAUGAUAAUUAUGCGUAUAUAUACCCGUAUCCAUAUUUUGCGUAGUAGGGAAUACUAGAGAGGAGGGUAUCAUCUAGGUCAAAGAUCCAAACAUUGACGGUGUCGUUCUUUAGGGCAAGUCCUUUGGCAUAGAAAUAAGCCUCUUUGCACACGGUUUUGGAGUCGUAUUGGUACUGUUUGGAAGUGAUCAAGUAGUCUUCAACAUAGUCUUUGCAAUUUGCGGGCACCGUGUCGAAGUCUAUGAUGUUAGAGGUCUCAACACCAAGGUGCCAGCUUCUGCAGUUGGCGUAGUUGAUGGAAAGUUUCUCUUUCUCUAAGAGUUCGGCUACGUUCCCAAAGAUGGUUUUCGAAUCGACGAGUUCGAUGAGCCCUGGAACGGAUGCCGAGACCGUAGCGGCCAAGAGCAAGAGAAGUGAAAGUGAGAGGAUUUUCAUGUUUUUUAUGGUAUGGUUUAUUGUUUAGUUUGUGAUGUUUAUAUGUGUGACGCAAAGGGUGGUAUUUAUAAUGAGGUGGGGUUAUGAGAAAUGAUUAAGAAGCCAGAUGAGAAAUGAGGAGAUAUGUGUGCUUGUCUGUUUUCGAUUGGUGCAACAAAUGCUACUGGUCCCAUAAUGUUUAUAAUCGACGAUAUUUUUCACUUACACCACUCGUUUUUAGUGCACGUUGAGAUUGUGUGCUUAACUAGAAUUUGGCGUUUUGUUGUUCUAUUAUCUUUGGCUUAUCUGCUUGUAAAUUUUGAAUUAGAGUUUCGUUUUGGAGAAUACUGUAAAGUUGUUCUACAUUACUAGAAAAAUGUAUUGAAUAUGUUGAUGUGAGUAUAAUUUGUGUUUGCGGAAAUAAUAUAUAGAGUAAAUGUUUCAUUUUUUUUUUUUUGAUAAAUAAUUGAUAGAGUAAUUGGGAAAACCAAUAAAAUGCAAAACGAGUAAUUGACAACAGGUUCCACAGUGAGCGAGAAGAGAUGGGUGUACUGUGAAUAAUAUAAGAGAUGAGACAUGACGAUAAGAAAUGUGAGGUACACAAGAAUAGACGUUAAAUAAUUGUUACGUAAAGUCGUAACAUUAAAUAAUUCAAUAAAUUAGCAAACAUAUAUAGCUGUAUCACUAUUCACUAGUUGUUGACAAAUAUUUGAAUAACGAUUUUCAUGCCCGAGAUUGGGAACAGUUUCUAAUUGCCACCAAGAUUUUCCACAAAAAGUUGUAUCUUGGUGAUAGCUAUAGUUUCAACGAUAAUUGUCCAGUCUUCCAACAAUAUUGUUAUAUAUUUUUUUCUAAUGCAUAUAACCUCAUGACGAAAUAUUUAAGUAGUUUAAUAGAAUUUUUAUAUAUCAAAAAGUAUAUAUAGUGUUGCAAACCAAGUUGUGGUACACUACAAGAGAACAAAACCCUUUUCGACAGACUUUUCGACGAUAAAUAAACGGUCGAAAAUUUUCGACGGUUUCGUAAUGGUAUUCCGACGGUUUUCUGACGACAUGUUUUCCGUCAAAAUGUCGUCGAACUUUUCUGACGAAUUCUAAAUGAUCGACAAUUCAUCAGUCAUUUCCAACGAAACUCCGACCAAAUUAAAUCCGACCAAAUUAAAUCCGACCAAAUGUUUCGACGGAUUUCCGACCAAAAUAUAUCCGUUUUGAUCCCUAGAAUAUUCAUCAGAAUAUUCUGCACUUUUCCGACGGAAUUCCAACGAAAUACACUCGGUCAAGUAGCUACUCGGUCAAUUCGCCGCACGGUCACAUAGCCGUGCAUUUUUUUAUUUUAAAAAAUAAAUAUUCAAAAUUUCCGUCGGAAAUUCGUCGCCAAAACCCGUCGGACGUCCGUCGAAAACCCGUCGAAAACAUUGAUAAUUCUCAUCUUUAUAUUUUUCUACCAUCAUUCACAAAAUCGUCCAAGCAGCAACAAAAUAUAACCAGAGAGAAAUGGCUUCUUCAAAUCCGUUUAAUUAUUUUCGAUCAUGGAUGGACCAGCCCAUGCGUGAUCCGCUAACGGAGUUACUAAUGCCGGAAUAUGCAGAAGGUCUUAAACAAUUCAUGGCAUUCGCGACAAAUCAACCGGUAACCAUCGAAUCAAAAAAAAUGUGUUGUACAUGUCGGAAUUUUGGAGUUCUUCAUGUAUCUCAAGUUUGGAUGCACUUAUAUGGGGAAGGGUUUAUGUCGGGGUACAAAGUUUGGUUCAUGCAUGGAGAGAAUGAGUCAAUGGUGAAUUAUGGUAGUUGUAGCGAAUAUUAUCCUGUUGAUAGGUUAGUGGAACCAAAUCCGGAAGUAGAUGCAAAUGUAGGUACCGUUCAGAUGGUAAAUGAUGCUUUUCGUGAAAAUGUACACUCGUUUGAUGGGGAUAGUGAUAGAGUAGAGGAACCUAAUUUAGAAGCACGGAAGUUUUUUGAUAUGUUAGAUGCAGCAAAAUAUCCCUUAUAUAAAGGAUGUAAAAAGGGUCAUUCGCCUUUAUCUGCUGCAACUAAGUUGAUGGGUAUCAAAACGGAUUAUAAUUUGUCCGAGGAUUGUGUGGAUGCGAUUACUGAUUUUGUGAAAGAUUUAUCACCCGAAGAUAAUCUUGCACCGGGAACAUACUACGAGGUGCAGAAAUUGGUAGCUGGUCUUGGUUUACCGUAUCAGGUGAUAGAUGUGUGCAUUGACAAUUGUAUGUUGUUCUGGAGAGAAGAUUCAGAUCGUUUGACAUGUAAGUUUUGUCGCAAACCUCGGUAUCGGGAAACAAGUGGACGAGUCCCAAUUCCAUACAAACGGAUGUGGUAUUUACCAUUAUCAGAGAGGUUGAAGAGGUUAUAUCAAUCUAAGCGCACAGCCGGGCCAAUGAGAUGGCAUGCAGAGCACACAACAGAAGGAAAAAUUACGCAUCCUUCUGAUGCAGAAGCCUGGAAACAUUUUCAAACAGUGCAUCCUAGCUUUGCUUCCAAACAAAGGAACGUAUAUCUUGGAUUAUGUACAGAUGGAUUCAAUCCCUUUGGAAAGCAUGAGAGGCAGUACUCAUUGUGGCCUGUUAUCGUGACACCUUGCAACUUGUCGCCAUCAUUAUGCAUGAAACGAGAGUUUCUAUUUUUGACCAUCCUCGUUCCUGGCCCACAUCAUCCAAGAAGAUCACUCGACGUGUUUCUACAACCACUUAUAUACGAGUUACAAAUGUUAUGGGAGCAUGGUGUUGAAGCGUUUGAUGUUUCAUCCCAACAGAAUUUUGUCAUGCGUGCGGCACUUAUGUGGACCAUCAGCGGCUUUCCUGCAUAUGGUAUGUUAUCUGGAUGGACAACGCAUGGAAGGUUAUCGUGUCCGUAUUGUCAAAAAUAUGAAUAUAAUCAGCUAGUAAUAUACUUUGUAAUUUUAUUUUAGAUUUAGAUUGUUAGAUUUAGGUUCAUAGAUAUUAUAGAUCACUUACGUGACAAACCGUGGUUAUAGAUCACUUGCAUGAACCACGAUUUGUAUUUUUCGUUUUUUAAUUUAUUAAUCAUAUGUUCCUCUUCGUCUUUGCUGGUGACUUGUGAUGGAGUAUGUUUUAGAAACCUCAACGAAUUUAAUCUCAUAUUUUAGUUUAAUAAAUUGUUAUUUACGUGUCUUCUGAAUUUUCCAUUUAAAAAUAAAUUAUACUUAGAUAUUUAUUUUGCUAUGGUAUCUAUUGGUUUUUUGACAUUACAAAUUUUGAUUAUAUUAAACUGUGUAUUAUUAAUAUUAUUUUAUUUUUUAGGACUUCUUACCAAGAUUUUCGUAGGUCUGAGACUCGAUCCAAUAAUCAGGCGCACUCGACAACACCAUCACCAUCGUCCGUUCCCGAGUCGCAGCAGUCUGCGGCUCGUCCACCAAUGACAGUUGAGGAGCUAGUACAACAACCGGGGCGAACACUUCUCCGACGACUCCAUCCAAAAAGGCGUGAAAAAGGGAGCACAUGGUAAGUAAAUUUUGUUCUCUGUUUUUAAUAUAUAAAGAUUUUAUAGUAUAAAUUAUAUUAUUUAUCUCUAUAUGUAGGUUUGGUUAUUCUAAAAAUGGCAUAUCCAAAUCGAUUUUACGGAUGUUGCAUGGAAUGCUCAAACAUCUGUAUCCGAAGUACAAUGAUAUGCUUCGCGAUGAUCAAGAGCUUUGGUUUAGAACUUUUGCGGUAAUGAAUUUAUUAUUACGUACCAUUAUUUUGUUUGUUUUUUCUAACAUAAUUCUUUUUGUUUGUAGCAUGAAUUCAAUAGGGAUCAUGUCCUCACACCCACUGUCCGUAUCGCGUUUAACAAGUAUGCUGCAUCAAAAUUUGCAGACCACAUGAACAUUUGGAAGGGAAAGUGGGCAGCAGGCAAGGAGUGUCCAAGAGGCUUGAACCCAGACAUAUGGCCUCGCUAUAAAGAGUAUUGGGCGUUGCCGGAGACUGCUCGUACCGCGGAAACCAACUCAUAAAACCAGAAAAGAGAGCGUGGUGGCAAAGGUGUGGCGGUGCACAAUGCGGGUUCGACGAGCUUCUUAAGUCGUACAGACGAAUUGGUAAGUCUUUUACUCUUAUUUAAUUUCAUGUUUUCUUUUAAUUUAACUAUAUUUUUUUAUUUGAUUUAUAGACGGAGAAGAACGGAGGUGUGAAACCUGAUUUUGUAGAAAUCAUUGAGGAUACACACACCAACAAGAAAACUGGAUUAAUUCAAGACGGUUACAUCGCGGGUCUUGUUGAGACAUUGAAGAGAAGGAAGACGGAGUGCCUCACACAGCUUCCCCAAAAUGAUGAUGGAUCCUCACCAUCCAACGUCCAGGCCCGAGAAAAAAUUAACCGCAUGGUUCUUGAGGUAAGGUUUGUUUCAUAGCAUACAUUUUUGUAUAAUUUUUAAAAAAUUACUAAUAGUUGUUAUAUACAGGAAGUUCCGUCAAACCGGAGUCGUGUGGUAGGAUUAGGUAGCCUAAACGAAAGCACCAAAGAUUUUUAUGACGGCCCAUCACGGGAUUCUGAGAUCCUUGCAGAGCUUGAGGAGAAAGACAAGGAGAUCUUAGCUUUGAAGGAGCAAAACAUGAAGAUUCUUGACUUCAUGCGUUCCAAAUUUCCUGAUUUUCCUGAUGAUCUAUAAAUGCUUUUAUUUAAAUUUAAUUUUGUUGUUUUGUCAAACAAUUUUAUUUUCUUUCGUAGGAUAAUAUAUGUAUUUUUAAAAUAUUUAUUUUAUAAUAUUUUAAGAAAGAAUUUUCUAUAAAAUUUAAUUUAAAUUAAUAAAAAUAUUGGUAAUUAAAUUAGACCCGUCGGUAAUACAGACAAUGUCAGUAACCCGUCGGAAAAUACAACAACAUCAGUAACCCGUCGGAAAAUAUAACAACGUCAAUAACCCGUCGGAAAAUACAACAGUCAGUAACCCGUCGGAAAUACUUCGUCGGGAAUCCAUCGGGAAUAAUGUUGUCGGGAAAUCGUCGAAGACGAUACCGACCGAUUUUCAACAACGUUCUGAUGCAAUGCCUGACAACAAUAUUCGUUAGAAAAUAGUCGAAAACUAUUUCCGACGAAGAUCCAACGAUCAUUUUCGACGAUGUUCCAACCAGUUUCGCAACCAAUGUUAUCGUCAGAAAAGCGUAGAGAAAUUGUCGGAAAAUACCUCGUCGGAAACCCGUCGGUAAUUUGUAACACGUUUCCAACGACAUUCAGAUUUCCGACAAGAUAGAAUCGACCAAUCUAUGUUGUCGAAAUGUCGUCGAAUACGGCUAUUUUUAACGGUAUUUCGACGAUUUCGUCCGUCGGAAAGAGCCUAUAUUCUUGUAGUGGUAGAAUAGUAGUUUCCAUUUGAAAUAUGAAGUCUUCAUGUGCGUAUAGUUUAGGGAUUAAAAUUCUUCAACUAUUUAAAUUAUUCGGUCUGAAAGUACCCUGGUUAACAACAAAAAAAAAAAGUUGCAACGACAAAAGUUUAUGUUUUUAUUUCAUAAAAACUAUUGACCAAACAUCUGAUGUCAAAGAAAAAAAAAACUAUAUUACCAAACAACAUAUACUUUAAUCACUCUAAAGGGAAUGUAGUUAAAACUCGAAUCAUAUUAAGAUGAUGUGUUCCCAACUAAUAUCAAUCCUAAGGAUUAGUCGGUUUAAACAUUGGUUUCAUCAUAUAACGUAAAGGAAUGAGUGUUAUACCACUACCAGCUUAACGUAAAUGGUGAGAAGAUAUUCAUAGAAAAUGAUAGUCUAUACUCUAUACAUGAUUAAAGAGAUUGGUAUAGUGUUGUGUUAACUGUUAUAUUUACAUGGAGAUAUCAUUUCAUGGAAACUUGAUUAAUGAUCCCUUUAACGAAAAACAAAAUUUAGUACGAAGUCGUUGUACUUAUUGAGUUAUGAUAGGAUUGGCAUUUUAUUUAAGCAGUGGUGCCAAAACGGCUACAAAGAUAAACGAAACGACAUAGAUAUGAAAUGGAUACAAGGGGACAAUGCCAUGAAGAUAGAUGCUUAAUUAAGAAGGUACGUAGUAGAGUGGAUUUGGGAGCUUAAAAACCCUUCCAGGAGUAUCCUCAACCAAAUCAGCCCAUUGGUCUCCAAUAUUCCCAACGAUGUUGUACCCUUUCUUCACAAGGCUAUUCCUAACCUUUGACUUGUACACCACUUGCGUCAACUUCGAUCCGUUUGGCCUGCGUUUCCAUAUAUAGUCCUCGAUAUUCAAUCACAUAUGACAUUAUUUGCUAUAUAUAACUAAGCUACUUGAUUAAUUCUUACUUGAGUAUGAGAUGCUUCCAUUUUGUUACACCAACAGCCUUGAGAUUCUCGACAGUGACUUCUGACAAUUUUUUCCAUCUGUCAGAGAUUAUGAUGGGUUCAAUCCCGAGUUCCAAGAGGUUUUCGUAUAGAUGCAAGGUCUCCGGGAGUCCUGGAGUUGAUUCUCCGGACUCUAACCACGACCAGUACGCCCCCGGGGCUGUGUUCUCGGUCCUAAGAAUCCAACAAAAAAAAAUCUACAUUAGAAUGAAAUCACAAAGUAGAUAUGGACCCAAAAAAACAGUUAGAUGGGUUAGUUAAAAUAUUUAAAGUUGUCAAAUGAAACGUGUCUUUCCAUAUAUGACAGCUAAACAUUUUCAAAAAAACUAUAUGACGAUAAUAUUAUUAAUUCAAUGUAGAUAGGUACAAUAAUAUGUAUAUACCCAUAUCCAUAUUUAGCGUAGUAGGGAAUACUAGAGAGGAGAGUGUCGUCUAGGUCAAAGAUCCAAACAUUGACGGUAUCGUUCUUUAGGGCAAGUCCUUUGGCGUAAAAAUAUGCCUCUUUGUUUACAGUUUUGGAGUCGUAUUGGUACUGUUUGGAAGUGAUCAAGUAGUCUUCAACAUAGGCUUUGCAAUUUGCGGGCACCGUGUCGAAGUUUAUGAUGUUAGAGGUCUCAACACCAAG
Molecule: long non-coding RNA, 7435 nt
Filed under: Arabidopsis thaliana (thale cress)
Lineage: Eukaryota; Viridiplantae; Streptophyta; Magnoliopsida; Brassicales; Brassicaceae
Description: long non-coding RNA (ATHA_LNC000406)
Source: RNAcentral